Molecule: RNA transcript, 678 nt
Organism: Danaus plexippus (monarch butterfly)
Lineage: Eukaryota; Metazoa; Arthropoda; Insecta; Lepidoptera; Nymphalidae
Exons: 4
Source: RefSeq, a predicted model, not a curated record
GAGAAUACCAUGUUUUUCUGUUACCUAAUUGCCUAUAUGAAGACUAUGUGAAAUUUUUUUGUCAGCUUGUGCUUAAGUGUUACAGCCUUGUAAUAUAAAUUAACGUGCUUACAUAAAAACAACUUACGAUAUGUAUAUUAAACAAGUAUAAGAACUUCUCACUGAAACGACCACAGAAUACGUCACAUAUAUCACAGACAUACCAGAGGAGGAUGUCGAGCAGGCUUUAAUUCACGGUUAUGGUCGAUACACGACCCAGUCCUUCUUAUAUGAUAAUCACCAAUAUGAGAAAGCUUUCCCCGCGGACUUCGAAAGAUGCUACGACGACAUGAUAAAGUGCAACACUGCCGUAAUUGUUCCUAAACCUGUCUGUGUCUACAACGAUCCAAGCGAUAUGGAUGAGGGUUAUAGGCUUUUCUUGACAUACUGUGACGCAUAUUUCGACAAUUGCCUAAGAGGAAUGAGAUUUUGGCGUAUACUGGAUUUUGGUCGAUGCGUAAUGAAUUAUCAAGCUAAAGAAUUACAAUCUAUUAUAAAAACCAGAAAAAAGUAUGGAACGAGUUUUAGAGAACUCUAUGAAUUCAUAUCAUCAAACAAGGAAUAAAAUGAUUGGGGAUAUAUCUUGAUAUCAUAAUAAUAUAGUAUAAAUCAAAGAGAUAAUAAAUUAAAUAUCGGAAA